RNAcentral lists this ribosomal RNA (952 nucleotides) under Heterorhabditis bacteriophora. Its description in RNAcentral is "SSU rRNA". It matches the Rfam family "Eukaryotic small subunit ribosomal RNA", at positions 844 to 1823 of the family's 1831-position model. The record is from RNAcentral. Lineage: Eukaryota; Metazoa; Nematoda; Chromadorea; Rhabditida; Heterorhabditidae.
GUUGGUUCAGGAACUGAAUUAAUGGUUAAGAGGGACAACUCGGGGGCAUUCGUAUCCCUGCGCGAGAGGUGAAAUUCGUGGACCGCAGGGGGACGCCCUAAAGCGAAAGCAUUUGCCAAGAAUGUCUUCAUUAAUCAAGAACGAAAGUCAGAGGUUCGAAGGCGAUUAGAUACCGCCCUAGUUCUGACCGUAAACUAUGCCAUCUAGCGAUCCAAUGGGGUAUUGUAGCCUUGUUGGGGAGCUUCCCGGAAACGAAAGUCUUUCGGUUCCUGGGGUAGUAUGGUUGCAAAGCUGAAACUUAAAGAAAUUGACGGAAGGGCACCACCAGGAGUGGAGCCUGCGGCUUAAUUUGACUCAACACGGGAAAACUCACCCGGCCCGGACACCGUUAGGAUUGACAGAUUGAAAGCUCUUUCUCGAUUUGGUAGGUUGGUGGUGCAUGGCCGUUCUUAGUUGGUGGAGCGAUUUGUCUGGUUUAUUCCGAUAACGAGCGAGACUCUAGCCUGCUAAAUAGUGUCCAGAUAUAUAAGUCUGGCUUACUUCUUAGAGGGAUAAGCGGUGUUUAGCCGCACGAGAUUGAGCGAUAACAGGUCUGUGAUGCCCUUAGAUGUUCGGGGCUGCACGCGCGCUACACUGGAAGAAUCAGCUGGUCCUUCCAUUGCCGAAAGGUAUUGGUAAACCGUUGAAACUCUUCCGUGACCGGGAUAGGGAAUUGUAAUUAUUUCCCUUGAACGAGGAAUUCCUAGUAAGUGUGAGUCAUCAGCUCACGUUGAUUACGUCCCUGCCCUUUGUACACACCGCCCGUCGCUGUCCGGGACUGAGCUGUUUCGAGAAGAGUGGAGACUGCUGUAUUGGGGCUUUCGGGCUCUGGUAUGAUGGAAACCAUUUUAAUCGCAAUGGCUUGAACCGGGCAAAAGUCGUAACAAGGUAUCUGUAGGUGAACCUGCAGAUG